Long non-coding RNA from Peromyscus eremicus (cactus mouse), 831 nucleotides. RefSeq lists it as uncharacterized. NCBI's taxonomy places the organism in Eukaryota, Metazoa, Chordata, Mammalia, Rodentia, Cricetidae. The record is from RefSeq and is a predicted model, not a curated record. The transcript is spliced from 4 exons.
UGUUCUCCGGCUGAAAGAAUAUAAGAGCACAUGCCUGAAUCUACGGGAGACAUUUGUCAUGUUGAUUGGGAACUAAUGCUUGUUUCUGCAAUAGAGGAAAUUCUAGAAGCCAGAGCGCAGAAUGAAGUGAAAGGUAAAAUUAUGGGGCAUCAAUACUGAAUUAAGAGUAUGAAAAUCUCAAGAUUUCAGCGACGGUCAAGACCUCCAGCUCAGUGUCCGGAAGGAGCCGGGCAGCGGGCAGCGGAAUGAAGCACAGACAGUGAAGCGGAGCCAUGCUCUUCGCCACCCACCUGGAGGCACUACUCCAAUACCAUCAUCAACCUCAUAAUCUGAGAUGUCACUAUCACUGAUUCGCUGAGAUCCUGCACAACAUUUUUUGCUGGAGCUCUCUCCAUGAAUAUGCCGCCUUGGCAUGAACGGGGACGGCUGAGGCAGAGGUAGUGAAGAUUCAUCAUGUGUCUGGAGUUUAUACCAAUGGGGCUCAUCAUCUAAAAGUGCCGUUUCCAAUUCUAUGAGGAUCUGAAAAGGCAGUUAGUCCUCAAAUGAAACACAACAUGAAAGUACUCAUGGCCAACAGGUAUGUCAAAAGCCACAAUAAGCAUCUAACGUGACUCUCCAGGAAAUACAUCACCUCUCCAAGGAAUUCACUCUCUUCCUCUUGGACUCUUGGCUGAUCCCACACGGUAAUUUCUAACAUUCGCUCUCGGAAAUCCCUCCGAUGUACGUGGGAGUAGACAAAGGUUUGGUUCCAUUUUGGUUCUAGAAUUUUCUUCACUGUCUUCGUCCUUCUUUUGCUUUUGUCGCUGAAAAAUAAAGAUGUUUCCUAAAUGA